AACUUUUAACAAUGGAUCUCUUGGCUCUCGCAUCGAUGAAGAACGCAGCGAAAUGUGAUGAGUAAUGUGAAUUGCAGAAUUCAGUGAAUCAUCGAAUCUUUGAACGCACCUUGCGCCCUUUGGUAUUCCGAAGGGCAUGCCUGUUUGAGUGUCAUUAAUAUCUCAACCUCUGAACCAUUGUGGUUUUUCCGAGGCCUUGGAUGUUGGGGGUUUAUGCUGGUGAAAUCACUCACUUGCUCCUCUUAAAUACAUUAGCGGAACUUAAUGGGAUUGGCUUUGGCUUGAUAAAUCUAUCUAUGCUAUCGCUGAGACCAAGUGCUUUUGCUUCUAACUGUCUUCGGACUGCCUUGUGCACUGUUAUAAACUUGACCUCAAAUCAGGUAGGACUACCCGCUGAACUUAAGCAUAUCAAUAAGCGGAGGCU
This 424-nucleotide unclassified non-coding RNA is filed under the name uncultured Clavariaceae. Its description in RNAcentral is "sequence contains ITS2". The stretch from base 1 to 154 matches the Rfam family "5.8S ribosomal RNA". Lineage: Eukaryota; Fungi; Basidiomycota; Agaricomycetes; Agaricales; Clavariaceae. The record is from RNAcentral.